RNAcentral lists this transfer RNA (77 nucleotides) under Bacillota bacterium. Its description in RNAcentral is "tRNA-Ile". It matches the Rfam family "tRNA". From Rfam's summary of the family: Transfer RNA (tRNA) molecules are approximately 80 nucleotides in length. Their secondary structure includes four short double-helical elements and three loops (D, anti-codon, and T loops). The record is from RNAcentral. Lineage: Bacteria; Bacillati; Bacillota.
GGGCCCUUAGCUCAGUUGGUUAGAGCAUCCGGCUCAUAACCGGACGGUCUAGGGUUCGAAUCCCUGAGGGCCCACCA